Molecule: microRNA precursor, 85 nt
Filed under: Bombyx mori (domestic silkworm)
Lineage: Eukaryota; Metazoa; Arthropoda; Insecta; Lepidoptera; Bombycidae
Description: mir-2807 microRNA precursor family
Rfam family: mir-2807 microRNA precursor family
Source: Rfam by way of RNAcentral
UUAACUCAAAUUUCUAUGGGGUUGGAACAUUUGCCUACGUUUGUCGCUAGGGGCGCUGUUCCAAAGGCAUACAAUAUUUCUUGAA